CCUACGGGUGGCAGCAGUGGGGAAUAUUGGGCAAUGGAGGCAACUCUGACCCAGCAACGCCGCGUGAGUGAUGAAGGUCUUCGGAUUGUAAAACUCUUUAAGUGGGGACGAAGAACGUGACUGUACCCACAGCAUAAGCCUCGGCUAACUACGUGCCAGCAGCCGCGGUAAUACGUAGGAGGCAAGCGUUAUCCGGAAUGACUGGGUUUAAAGGGUGCGCAGGCGGCGAGUUAAGUCAGCGGUAAAAUUUCGGGGCUCAACCCCGACGAGCCGUUGAAACUGGCUUGCUAGAGUGGGCGAGAAGUAGGCGGAAUGCGUGGUGUAGCGGUGAAAUGCAUAGAUAUCACGCAGAACUCCGAUUGCGAAGGCAGCAUACCGGCGCCCAACUGACGCUCAGGCACGAAAGCGUGGGUAUCGAACAGGAUUAGAUACCCUAGUAGUC
Molecule: ribosomal RNA, 442 nt
Filed under: uncultured bacterium
Lineage: Bacteria
Description: partial 16S ribosomal RNA
Rfam family: Bacterial small subunit ribosomal RNA
Source: RNAcentral